This is a non-coding RNA of Carica papaya (papaya), 5092 nucleotides long. The record is from RefSeq and is a predicted model, not a curated record. NCBI's taxonomy places the organism in Eukaryota, Viridiplantae, Streptophyta, Magnoliopsida, Brassicales, Caricaceae.
AAGAAAAUGAAAAAAAAAAUAUAAGAAUCAGCUUCUACUGCAAAAGAGAAAAAGUGUGUUCAUUGAACUUUCAAUUCUAUCCAUCUUAAUCAAAGCGCAUCCACUUCACAUAUAUUGCCUCACAAUAAUAUAGUUUUUAUUGUGUAGAGCGUAGCUUACAUUGGGAAUAGAUUAGGUUUAUAUAUAUAGAUUUCUUAUUACGAAUGAUCUAAAUUCUAUUAUCAUUAGUUGGAAAUCGUUUUCUUGCAUUCUUAAUUUUGUUUUUUCAUAUAUCUCUUGUUUCCAUUACAUUAAAAGUAGCUUAUUGCAUUCUAGUUACAUUAAUUAAUUUAAAGAAACGCACCCACCUUAAUCCAUGUGUUUAGAUCUUGUUCUUGUUUAUGUAAUUUGCAUUUAGUGUUAAUUGUUUACCUUUUUCAUUCAUUAGGAUUCAUUGAAGUGUCACAUAAACAACUAUUUGUUUAUCUUGAUUGAGUUACUUUCAAUUCUGAAGUACAACUUAAAGAAAAGAAUAGAGUGGUAAAAGAUUUGAGGGUGUAAGCGUAGAAGAGGAUAAAAACAAAAAUUCUAAGUAAAAACACGAGAGAAGUGAGAAAUCUGUUCAAGAAUGAAACAUGUAAGGGAGUGUUGUGAGGAAUUUUCUUUACUAACAUUUUUUUUGCAGGUUUUACAUCAUGUCAAAUUCUAAAAGUGAGAAACGUGAAUUAAUCAUGAAUGACAUAGCUUUUAUGUUAGAAACAAGGUAAAGACAGUUUGAGAAGCACAAUAGGGAUAUAGACAACAUGAAAGGUGAUAUAGAUAGCCUUUGGGGCCGACAUGGUGGUGUUAAUCAAAGAAGACAAAGUAGGGGAAGAGGAAAUAUGCUAAAUGAUGACGAGAUAGAAAGGGAAGUAGAUGAAGAUAGUGAAGAGUCAAUGGUACAAAGAAUACUCGAAAGGAGGGACAAUAACAUUAAUUUUAUCAAGAUGAAGAUUCUUUCUUUUUAAGGUAGAAAUGAUGCUAAAACUUAUUUAAAAUGGGGGCGAAAUUGAGUUGAUAUUUGAAUAUCAUAACUACUCCGAGAAGAAGGAGGUAAAGUUGGCAGCCGUUGAAUUUACUAAUUAUACUUUGGUUUGGUGGAAUCAAUUACUCAUCUCUAGGAGACAUAAUGGAGAGGCACCCAUCACCACCUGAACUCAAAUGAAAGUUAUCAUGAGAAAAAGGUUUGUUCUAUCAUUUUACUAUAAAGAGCUCCAUCAGAAAUUGCAAAGCCUCGCUCAAGGGUCUAAAUCAGUUGAAGAUUAUCACAAAGAAAUUGAGAUAGCUAUGAUUCGAGUAAAUAUUGAGAAGGAUAGAGAAGCUACCAUAGCACGAUUUCUAAGUAGUUUGAAUAGAGAAAUAGCCGAUAUAGUUGAAUUACAUCACUAUAUUGAGUUGGAGGAGAUGAUUAAUAUGGACAUUAAAGUAGAAAGACAAUUGAAAAGUAAGGGAACAACAAUGUCAUAUUUUGGUUAUAACAGCAAUUGGAAUUCAAAGUGGCCUAAGAAGGAGGAGAAGACCAAGGAAAAGAGUUUUAGUUUCAAGGAGAAGGGUACAAAUUUCAACAAAGGCAAAGAUAAAGGUACCUCACCAUCUAUUAAAGGUACUUCUGAUCCCAUGUUUACUAAUAAACAUCGAAAUAUUAAAUGUUUCAGAUGUUUAGAAGUGGGACAUAUUGCUUCACAAUGUCCAAAUAAGAAUGUCAUGUUUAUUAGGGAUAAUGGGGAUGUUGAGUCUAAAUUUGAUUCUGAUUAUGAUAAUAUGCCACCUAUAGAAGAUUGUGAUGAUGAUGUUGAGUAUACUGCUUGUAGAAAAUCAUUAGUUAUUAGACGAGCUCUUAAUAUGCAAGUUAAGGAAGAAAGUUUAGAACAAAGGAAAAAUUUGUUCCAUACAAGAUGCUUUGUAAGUGGAAAAGUUUGUGUUGUGAUCACUGAUGGAGGGAGUUGUACAAAUGUGACUAGUACUACUUUGGUGGAGAAAUUAAGUUUAAAAUGUGAAAAGCACUCAAGACCCUACAAGCUGUAAUGGUUGAAUGAUUGUGGAGAAGUGAAGAUGAUUAACAGGUUAUAAUUCCAUUCUCCAUUGGAAGAUGUUGAUGAAGUAUUAUGCGAUGUUGUACCCAUGCAAGCUGAUCAUUUGUUGUGAGGGCGACCUUGACAGUUUGAUAGAAGAGCCAUGCAUGAUGGGUACACAGAUAGGAGCUUGAAGAUAUGUUUUCUGAUGAUAUGCCAAAUAGUUUACCACCUCUAAGAGGAUAAACGUCCAAUUGUAUACUUCAGAGAAAAGUUAAAUGAGGCACCAUUGAAUUAUUCUACCUAUGAUAAAAAGUUAUAUGAUUUAGUUCGUGCACUGCAAGUGUGUAGCAUUACCUACUUUCAAAGGAAUUUGUGAUUCAUAUUGAUCAUGAGUCCCUCAAGCAUUUAAAGAGACAAGGAAAGCUGAAUAAAAUGAAUGCAAAGUGGAUAGAAUUUAUUGAGACUUUCCCUAUGUGAUUCGUUGCAAGUAAGGUAAAGAUAAUGUGGUGGCAGAUGCAUUAUAUAGAGGUACGCUUUAAUUUCUACACUUAAUUCUAAGUUGUUAGGAUUUGAGUAAUUCAAAGAUAUGUAUUCUAUUGAUUUUGAUUUUUGUAAUGUUUAUGCUACUUGUGAACAUGUUGUAUUUGAUAAGUUUUAUAAGCAUGAGAGAUUUUUAUUUCAUGGAAGACAAUUGUGUGUGCCUACAUAUUCAUUGCGUAAAUUGCUUGUUCAUGAGUCUUAUAGUAGGGGAUUAAUUGGUCAUUUUGGUGUGCAUAAAACUUUAGACAUUCUGACUUAGCAUUUUUAUUGGCCAAACAUGUGUAAGAAUGUUGAGAAACUUUGUUCAUCUUGUGUUGCAUGUAGACAGACUAAAUCUAAGUCCAAACCGCAUGGUUUAUACACUCCAUUACUAGUUCCUACUCAAUCUUGGACUGAUAUUUAUAUGAAUUUUGUGUUAGGUUUGCCGAAAACUAGAAGAGGUAAAGAUAACAUAUUUGUUGUAAUUGAUAGAUUUAGUAAAAUAGCACAUUUCAUUGCAUGUCACAAUACCGAUGACGCAACAAAUAUUGCUGAUAUGUUCUUUAAAGUAGUAAGGAUACAUGGUAUACCUAAAACUAUUGUUUCUGAUCGUGAUGUUAAAUUUUUGAGUCAUUUUUGGAAAAUUUUAUGGAGUAAGUUAGGAACUAAACUUUUAUAUUCUACUACUUGUCAUCCACAAAUUGAUGGUCAAACUGAAGUUGUUAAUAGAACUUUGGAAACUUUUUUGCGUGCUGUUAUUGGUAACAGUUUGAAAACUUAGAAAAAUUAUUUAUCAUUUAUUGAGUUUGCAUAUAAUUGUACUAUUCAUUCUUCUACAGGUUUUUCAUAUUUUGAAAUUAUUUAUGAUUUUAAUCCAUUAACUGUUUUGGAUUUAAUGCCAUUACUUUUAAGUGAAAUUUCUAGUUUAAAUAGUAAGAAGAAGAUUAAAAUGGUUAAAGUUAUCCAUGAGAAAGCAUGUGGGCAGAUUAAAAAGAAGAGCCAAGUUUAUGUUCAAAGGGUUAAGAAGGGGCGAAAACAAGUUGUAACGAUUGAGUUUGGGUACAUAUGCACAAGGAAAGGUUUCCAAAACAAAGGAAGUCAAAGUUAGAUACGAGAGGCGAUGGACCAUUUCAAGUGUUAGAGAAAAUCAAUGAUAAUGCUUAUCGGAUUCUUCUCCUCAAUAAGGUUCAAGUCUUUCCAUCUGACCAUCUAGCAAGGGCAGCAAAUCCAAUCUUUCAGUGUGUGACAAACUGCAGUUCUCAGGGAGCAUUCACAGUUGACAACAUUGAAGCACAAGGUGUUUCAAGGUCGGCAGUGCUUCCUCGUCAAGAUCUGACCAUUCCUUCAGAACAGCAGAAGAUAUGCUGAGAACUUCUAGCUUGAGAAACCCAACAGCUGGCCAAAGUGCUUUCACCAAAUGUUUGGCAUCAUAAGCAUCCCACAGGUAUAAAGCUUUUCUAAAUUAGUAGGAGCCAAAGUACCAACAUUGGUUCUCAAAAAAGCAAGAAGAACCUAGGCUGAUGUUGGGAAGUUUGUUCAUCCUAACAACUCAACUUGGUAGUGUUCUUAACUUCCUUCGAAGGUAAAAUUUUUUAAAAAGUGGUGGAGGCGAGACUGUAGAAGGAUAAGCAUUUCCUGUUCAAAACCGUGCUUUGCUUCUAGAGACAAAGAUAGAAGAUCCUGCAUCCUUGCGAUAGAAGCAAAUAACUUGGUAACAGUCUUGUCACUCACGUUCAUCACACCCAGUCUUUUAAGCUGAAUCCAAUCACCCAACUUUCUUGCUAUGCCUGCACCAGGGCGUAUGCCAGGAAGGGUGGAAAUUCCCUAGCUCUUGGAAACUUUAUUUGGCAGACAUCAAUGUUCUUGAGCAUUUUGAGAUGCUUUAAUGUUACAAAAUUUAGGACCCCAAUUGGUAUUUCUUUUAAAUACCCACAUCAUCUGAUAUCCGAAGUCUGUAGCAGCCUUAAAUUACCAAGUCUUGCUGGAAGCUCGUUUCUAUCAGUCUGUUUCAAGCCAAGAUAUGUUAAAUGUAUCAGGUCUCCUUCAUAGAUCUGGUAAGUUGUUGAUCUUGGUUCCUUCUAAAUCUAACACCCUUAAAAAUUUUUGCCCCAUGCAAAUUUAGCCAAUUCUCAUUGGCUUCAGCGAGAUCUUAAUUUCUGAAGAAAAAGCAAAGAGCGGGUUCGGAGAUUGUUUAAUUGGGUGGCAAUUAUUUCAAGUUUGAAGUAAAAGUAGCACGGGGGAUACCAUAACAUGAAUUGAUAAGUGGUGGCGGAGCUGGAGGGAUGAAAAUUUCAUUCUUCAUCUUGCAAAGAGAGACAUCCUUAUAAAGGGGAGCAACAAUUAAUAUAGUUCCAUUUCCAGGUUCUUUGCACUAGAAGCAUUCCCUUGCUGAUCAGUUUCUUCUACUAUAUCCUCUGUUAUUUUCCCUCAUUUUUCUUGUACCCAUCCUUUAACCACUAAUAACCAAAUUAAUUUCCCUUUCUGUAUCCAGCAAUCCUCAGGGAAGAUACAGCAGUACAGGAAAGAGAAUUGAAGGAAAU